UUAUGUGAUCAUUCUAGUGUUAGUGAAUCAGAUCCCAUUAAAAUCUCUAUAGUUAAGUGUGCCUAAUUUAAAGUAGUUCUAAAAUGGGUGACCUAUCAAGAAGUCCUAGUAUUGCACCCU
Molecule: non-coding RNA, 120 nt
Organism: Picea glauca (white spruce)
Lineage: Eukaryota; Viridiplantae; Streptophyta; Pinopsida; Pinales; Pinaceae
Source: Rfam